Molecule: long non-coding RNA, 194 nt
Filed under: Rhinopithecus bieti (black snub-nosed monkey)
Lineage: Eukaryota; Metazoa; Chordata; Mammalia; Primates; Cercopithecidae
Description: lncRNA (ENSRBIG00000045549.1)
Source: RNAcentral
UAGCAGGUUGAAUUUUUUCCAAACUUCAGCUUGCAGCCUACAGCAUCUUGGAUCCUCAGCUACUUCAGCAGAAACUCAAGUUCUCCAAUUUGAAUAUUCAGCAGGAGAAGAAGGCUGACUGAAUACUUAGAUUUAACAACAAUGGUUAAACAUAUUCCUGUCUUAUGAUUCUGCUCCAUCUUUCUAAGGUGAAA